Molecule: ribosomal RNA, 433 nt
Filed under: uncultured bacterium
Lineage: Bacteria
Description: partial 16S ribosomal RNA
Rfam family: Bacterial small subunit ribosomal RNA
Source: RNAcentral
AACGAACGCUGGCGGCAUGCCUAACACAUGCAAGUCGAACGAGACCUUCGGGUCUAGUGGCGCUCGGGUGCGUAACGCGUGGGAAUCUGGUCUUCGGUUGGGAAUAAGUGAGAGAAAUUUCAGCUAAUACCUUAUAAUGUCUUUGGACCAAAGAUUUAUCGCCGAGGGAUGAGCCCGCGUAGGAUUAGGUAGUUGGUGGAGUAAUGGUCUACCAAGCGGACGAGCCUUAGCUGGUCUGAGAGGAUGAUCAGCCACACUGGGACUGAGACACGGCCCAGACUCCUACGGAUGGCAGCAGUGGGGAAUAUUGGACGAUGGGCGAGAGACUGAUGCAUCAGUGCCGCGUGAGUGAUGAAGGCCUGAGGAUUGUAAUGCUCGUUUACACUGGAUGAUAAUGACAGUACCGGAAGAAUAAGCUCCGGCUAACUCCGUG